This 464-nucleotide ribosomal RNA is filed under the name uncultured bacterium. RNAcentral's name for it is "partial 16S ribosomal RNA". It matches the Rfam family "Bacterial small subunit ribosomal RNA", at positions 28 to 507 of the family's 1533-position model. The record is from RNAcentral.
GACGAACGCUGGCGGCGUGCUUAACACAUGCAAGUCGAACGGUAAGGCCCCAGCUUGCUGGGGUACACGAGUGGCGAACGGGUGAGUAACACGUGGGUGACCUGCCCCGCACUUCGGGAUAAGCCUGGGAAACUGGGUCUAAUACCGGAUAGGACCGCACCGUGAGGGUGUGGUGGAAAGUUUUUCGGUGUGGGAUGGGCCCGCGGCCUAUCAGCUUGUUGGUGGGGUAAUGGCCUACCAAGGCGGCGACGGGUAGCCGGCCUGAGAGGGUGGACGGCCAGAUUGGGACUGAGACACGGCCCAGACUCCUACGGGAGGCAGCAGUGGGGAAUAUUGCACAAUGGGCGGAAGCCUGAUGCAGCGACGCCGCGUGGGGGAUGACGGCCUUCGGGUUGUAAACUCCUUUCACCAUCGACGAAGGUUUUCUGACGGUAGAUGGAGAAGAAGCACCGGCUAACUACGUG